GGGCGGCUGGCCUAAUGGUAAGGCGCUAGAUUUCGGCUCUAGAGAUUGCAGGUUCGAUCCCUGCGUCGCUCG
This is a transfer RNA of 72 nucleotides. It matches the Rfam family "tRNA". From Rfam's summary of the family: Transfer RNA (tRNA) molecules are approximately 80 nucleotides in length. Their secondary structure includes four short double-helical elements and three loops (D, anti-codon, and T loops). The record is from Rfam.